UACCGCCGCGGCCCGCCGGCACCGCCUGCCCCGGCCAGGCUCCCGGCGGCGCUGCGGGAGCGACCCCGGGCGGAAUCAAACCCCAGCAUCCCAGCAGGUUGGAGCGCAGUUUAGUGAGCAACGGGCAGGGCCGGGCAGGGCUGGGCAAGACAGGGCAGGGGUGUGGAGGCAACUGCCCCAACGGUAUCCCCGGGCUGUCUCGCAGCGCAUUCCUGGACAAGUCCGCCUCCCUCCCAGCCUGAAAGCGCUGGGUUCGAAGCAGGCUUGCGGGGCUCUGUCCCACUCCCGUCCAGGCUCCAUCCGUAGCCAUCUGCCGUGGCUUAAUUCUGCUCCGCCAUCUAUCAAAAGGCAGCCUCAGUCGGCAAGAGCAGGGGAUGCUCUCAUGCACUAGAUAAGGCAAACCGACUAAGUAACAGUGAUAACCACAAGAACAAUAAUGGUAACAAUACUAUCUGCCCGGAGGUUAGAGGGCUUUGCCCUCUUUCCUCUUGCACUCAGCAGGCAGCACUGAUCGCAGUGUGUUUUUUGCCAGAGACUGGGUUGCAGAUGGGGCUGGUCGCCCUUCUCUGCAAGGAGAUAAAGGGAGCAAUUCUUGCCCUUCCCGCAGUGUCUCCUUGCCUCUUCAUCCCCGCGUAAUCAUCCUUCUGUGGUCCAGCAGACCAGAUGUAAACACACAGACUACUCCAUCCUUGCCUUCCAGCUCAGCGAGUUGGCGCCAAGUCUUUCCCGAUGCAUUGCAUAGAUGUUCUCAUUUCUUGCUUUGAGAUACCUGUACACAUCCAUACAUCUACCUACACAUGCAUAUGCACAUUUGUGUGUGUUCAUCUAUGUAGCCUCAGAUUGUCAUGAUUCAUUCAUCAUUACUUCUUCCUUAUAUGUCCUUUGUAAGACCCAGAGUUUUUCAGGAUCUCAGGGGAGCUGUGCAGGGAUCAGAGGAAAGUCCAUCUUCGCCUGCUUGUGUGUGAGCCAGGAUGAGGUGCAGCCGAGGUUGACCUUUAAACAGCGACUCCCGCCCGGAGCUACGGGAGCAGCUUCUGGCCCCACGGCGCCCCCUGGAGGCCGCGCAUCCCCGUGCAGCCCUGUGCGCUCCCUCCGCCCCUUCCUCCUCGGCCGAACUCGAGGAACUUCAAGCGUGAAGGAUUUGGAAGCAACAUUCCGAUCCAAACCCCAAUAGCUUUAAAAAGUCACAUGCACGUCAUAAUAUAUCGCAGUGGUGAGUGUGAAAAGUUAGCUUUUUGUGCCUGCCCGGUGGAAAUCAAGGCUGUACCCCUCCUGUAAAUUCGGUGCUGUAGAGUGUCAGCUGUGAUGUGAAAAUAUGAAGGGAAAUGGGCUACUAUCUGCUUGCUACAGCUGUCGAGGCAGCCUGGGACAUCAGUUUCACUCAGGGACAAACACCAAGAGGUGAAGUCAAGCUAUCGCCCUGUGACAUUCUUCAAAAAGUUCAAAUAAAGCCUAUGAAUUAGGCUGACUAAAUGCCAUUAUUUCAUGUGGUUUCACUUGUCCUCCUGUACUCAAGGUGGUGGCCAAGAAAGGCAUAGUGCACAGGUAAGUCAGGCAACAAGCAAAGCAAGCCCUCCAGCAGAACAAGCUCUCUCCCACUGCCUUCACCCAGCAGAGCCUGUCCCAGCAGCAGGAUCUUCCCUGGUGCCUCCACUGAAAGACGCAGGGGAAAAGCUCCACAUCUGGCGCUUCUAGACCUGGUGUGCAACUGCAACUGCCACAGUAUGGGAGAGUGGAUGAGCCAGUCAGCAAGGUAUGGCAUGAGAUUCAUCUUCACCCUCUGCACAAACUUCGUUACAUUCCUUUUGCAUUACUUAGCUCCGCUGAUACUGAUAAAUCGCCACAAUAACUGAGGAGUGAGAUAAUAGAGAUAGUAAUUUGCAGUCUAACAUGAAUUAAUUCUCUCUUAAUCAGGAACUGCUUUGAUAGCAUAGCAGGUAUUAAGGGCACAGCACUUCUCAAUAUUAAAUAUUUGUGUGUCUGAAGCAGUCUUAAAAAAAUAUGACUAGAGUAGUCCCACAAUCAGAAAACAGGGAAGAAAACCAAAACUUGAAAUAUAUUCUUACUAUAAAAUAUUUGAAAGUGUAUCUUAAGGACAAUUUGAUUAGCACCAGGAAACUACCAGAUUAACUUCAUGUACUGUUCAUGUGGAGAUUAGUUUAUAAUUCACUGUAUUAAAGUAAAUCUGUUUAUUAGGUGGUGAAGUACAGGUUGCACGUUAAAUAAUAUUAACUUAAAUACACACUUAAUACUCGUAAAAAAGUACUUAAAAUGUAAUGUAAGGUUGUUAACUCGAUGACUUUUUUUGUUUUGUGUAAGUGUUCUGUACAAGAAAAUACAAGCUGCAAUGUUCUAUGCACAGCAACUAACUAGUGCACAUUUAAACUGAUCUUAAUGAAGAAAUGCAGCUGGUAAAGGAGUUAUAAAGCAAGGCAAUAGCAUUAAUUUCUCAGAAAUUCUAGCAAAGAAUUACAGGAUUCUUUGAAGUUAUGUUUACAGUGCUUGGAACAUGAAAAAAACUGACAUACAUAGGUCUUCCCUACUUCAGAGGGUUAUGACACAUCACUGUGAUAUGUCAUUUUACAUAAUCUGCGUAAAAAAAAUCUGAACCUAAAGCUUCCUCCAUACAUAAUUCAGCUCUCACAAACUAGAUGUAUUAGAGGUAUUUAAGGUAUUUUUGGACCAUUGAAAGAUUUUUGGUUUGAUUUACUGUUAUACGUCCAGAGUACAAGGCAAUCAACCAAGCGAACAUUUUUUAGUGAGAGUACAGGUCACUGUGAAAAGCUCUUACCUUCUUCACACUGUUGUUUUUCAAACCUUAUUAAGAACAUUUUGCUAUUUGUUCUUUCUUUAGACCAUACAUAGUCUAUUAACAUCCGUGGAUAAAAUGAAAAGAGCAGCUGUGACUGGAAAACUAAAGGUACAACCUUUAAAUUUUUUACCAUGUAUACUUCCAGGUAAUCUGACAGACUGGGUGAAGUCCAUUGAAAACCACAGACACAACUUCUUUCAAAUUAGCAAAAUUGGGAUAUCUCUGACUCCUGUUAAAUUAAACAAAAUAAAAAAAUAAUGAUGUUGCUGUCACUAAUUAAAGCAAUAAUUAGUGUGAUGUUGACCUACUUUAAAGAUUUAUAGUUCCUCAUUUCUCUUCUGUAGAAAGGCCAAACAUAAGAAGUAAUUUCCUCUAAAAGAGUGCCAAACCCCCCAAAGAAAGCAGAAAAUUCAGAGGGUUUUCCUUCUUUGAAUUUCUUUUGCUCAAUUUCAAGCAAUUAAAAUGUCAGAUUCCCUGCCUUAGUCAAACCAUGAAACCAGGUAUAGGUUUCAGGUCACAAGUAUUUAAGAAAUACAUAGAAAUCUUGACUUUUUAACUUGUCAGAUAAGAAGAAGGAAUUGCUGAUUUUACCAUGGUCAAUACAAAAUCAAAACAACAUAUGUGUCUGUUCAGAUAGAACUUCUGCACUUAUAUGUUCACAAACUUGAUUUUAGUAAGCUUAACUUUUUAGCAGGAUUUUGCAAUCCUAAAACCAAGGACAAGGCUUAAACGUGCAGGGUGAAGAUUCAAAGCACGUAGGAUGCAAUACAUGUCUGAAAAGGAAUUCCAUCCUUCCCUACAUGAAGUCUGGAUUUAAGAUGGCACUCCAGUACAUACUGCAGUCCCCAGCUGUACUCAGGCCCUGCAGCUCCAUACUGGGGUAAGAAAGAGCUCUCCUGUGCUCAGAGUCCCCCCUGACUGCCAGGAUCAGGCAGACACUUGGGGGCUGUUGAAUCCACUUGACCUGAAGGUUCAUACUACUCACACGAGUAACGGGUAUGACCAAGGCCAGUGUUCAUACUAUAUGCUUAAUGCAGUCAAUUAAACAUAUCCAGGGGCUUCCUAAUAUUAUAUAUAAACAAAACAGAGUAUUAAUUCUGUAUUAAGAGAAGAAAUGUAUAAUAGUAGAGAUGGCCCAGAAAUACUUUACCUGAUCUAUGAAAAAGAAGGAAGGACUUUUGAAAUAUUAUGUAAGAACGAACAGAAUGACUUUAAGGAUCGGGAAUAAUAGAAUUAAAUGUCACAUAAGAAUGUGGAAGAUCACAUUCUGGAAUUAAUUGAACUGUUUCAUGUUCUAAGUUAGAACUACAAAUGGCUGGAGGCAGUGGGAGGAAAAAGACUUAAGGUAUUGUUUGGUUGCACAAUAUCUGUAUGCUAGGUGUGUGAUAUGUACAUAGAAAGAAAAAAGCCAGUGGGAUGUUAUUAGAGGAAAUUAUUUUAUGCUAUAACCCUCAGCGCAGGCAAGACUUCAUUGGGAAUAUUAUUUACAGUCUGAUCAGUCAUGGUCAGACAAAAGGCUGCCAAGACAGCAAAGAGGAUGAAAAGCCUCCGGUCCAUGAGGUGACAGCCAGAACUUGAUUUGUGAGCUCAGCAAAAUGAAGUCAGAGGAGAGGUAUGAUGGCUCUUGGCAAAUACCCAAGAAGAAACAACACUGGGAUAGGCAAAGAAGUAAUUGUACUACAGGAUGCUACCACUAACAUUACCUUGGGGGGUGGGAAAUCAACAAAUCCCAAACUAGUCUAAGCAUAAAGGGAAGUAAAUUCAUACAGUCUUCUCAUAAAGUGGUGGAGGGGAAAAAAAUCUGAUUUUAAGAGCAAGCUACUGAAUUCAUUUACUAGGAAGAUUAUUCUGAUCUUUUAACAUGUUGAAAUCUCAAAAAAAAAAAAAAAAAAAAAAUAGAACAGAUCUCAGCCUGGACCAAGCAAAAUAUUUUACAUAUAUUUCUGAGCUCUAAAUCUAUGGCAGUUAUAAAAUAAAAGGUUGUUUUGAAAGAUGGAAUGAGAGAAAGAUAAAGAGAAUGAGAGCAAAAGAGCAAGAAGAGGGGAGAGUACAAAAGUGGAAGAGAGGAAGAGACAGAAACAGAGAGAAUCAAGGAGAAACAGGGAGAAACAGAGAAAGGGAAGGAAAGAGAAAUAUUUUCAAAUAAAAGAAAACGUACAAAACAAGAUGUUUUAAUCCAUUAAUUCAAGGUAUUUUUGAGUUGGGUAACUUAUCAAAUUGUACUGUUUCACUGGUUUCAGUGAAUCAGCAUAUUCUUCUUUAAAAAAAAUUAUUAAAAUAUCCUAAAUGCACUGCUCUACAAAUAACCCUCUGUUCUGCUUUGAAGUGUUCCUUUAGUCAUUAUGCAGAACUUGCAUAAUGAGAUAGACUUCAAGCUGUCAAUAAUACUGUAAGCUCACAGGAACAGAAAAUCAGGGUAUGUUAUGGCUUUGUUAACAUUGCUGGAAAUAAAUUCUCUAAAUCAAGAGAUUCUAAAGCUUUUAUCUUUAUUAUUUUUUGUGAUUUUAAGUGAAGAGAUAAGGAAAAUGCAAAGAUAAUCUGUUUAUAGAUUUUGUGGGCUGGCAGAAGAACAUUUAACCAGUUUUAUGUUCUACUAACUGCAGGUAAUGAAAGAACCACAAUUUCUGGGAGUUUAUGAUUAAGUGCAUAUUGGAGCUCAGAUAUAUUGAUUUUGCCAGCAUGGUGAUUCGCACGCAGGCAUAUAUAGAUUCAAAAAUAUGGAUAAAUACAUAUACCCCAGGUAUCAGCUAUAUUAUCAUUAAACCAUUUUCAAACAAUUGGCAGUCCAAAAAGGUAUGUUACCUCAUGUUACAAGCUUCAGCAAUACAUAACCUUCAUAUAAUAAAAAUGUUUUUAUUUUCCCUCAAUUUUGGAGACAAAGCAAACACCAGAGGAAAGCCACCUAAGGCUGCAAAAGUUUGAAGAAAUCCUAAAUACAGGAAAACAAGAGGUUAGACCUGAAAAUGCCUGACUGUUUUUGCCACCUUAAACUACAGACACUUCUGCCUUUCCAGAUAUAAAACAUGAACCCACAAGAAGGCAGCUCUUCUAUGGUUCAUGUAUGGAUGUGAAGAAGCAAAGAUGAAAGACUAUGCAAGCUCGUCUGCACAGAAACUGCAAAAGUGCCUGGAAUAUUAGGGGAACACAGAAACCGAGUAUUUAUUAGGAAGAUUGCAACUGGUCCUGAGUAGAAAUGAAUGCUGAGAUUCCAUGCAGUAUUAAGUGAAGAGAAAUAAUUCUGCAACUUCAGCAGUUUAUACCGCAAUACGAAGAAGCACAGAAAGGAGACAAAUAGUUCAAAGAGCACAAGAACUGUGAAAAUUACAUAGUUUGGGGGUUGGGUUUUUUUUUUAUUUACAAUGCAUUUCCUUCAAUUGCAUAUGCUCAGCCUUUUAUGUUCAGCUUAAGAUGCUUGUACAAGCAAGUUUCUUUCCAGCAAACAUUAACAUUUUGUGGGCAAACACAAAAAUCACUCGAUUUUUAUGUCUUCACAUGCACAUGUUUUCAUUCCAUUUAUUUAAGGGCCCAUCAUCUGAGAAAGUAAGAACAGUUCUGUCCAGUAAGCAAGAACUACAGACAGGUCUCAAGUGGAUAAGGAAUGCCUUUGAAGAGCCUUUUCCUGCUGAAAACCAAAACAUUUACUGAGCAUGUCAGAGGAAUCUGUGUCUGCUGGAUUCCUGACCACAGCAUAUUUCUUCCUUGAAGAAACAGGAUGAAUGGCAGAGGAGAUGGUGAACAGGGAUAAACCUUGAGUGCUGGGACUGCAAUUCAGCCCAAAGCCUGCCAUGAAGGAGGGGAUACGAGAGGCUGCUAAGGAAUGGGAGGACAAAUCCUCCCUUCUGCUUAUAUAUGUCCAGACCUGGAAUUUAGAAAGACCAAUAAAGAAGGAGAACAGUAGCUGAAUCCAGGCAGGGAAAAGGCAGUAACGACUCUUAUAUAGCAAUUACAGAUGUCUGAGAUAAACCAGCACAGCCUUAUCAGUGAAAAAGAUGGUUGAUCUUUUGAAAUUCUUCUGAAAAAUCCCUACAGAAUGAGCAGUAGAAAGUUGGCUUCGAAUCUCCUAAAAUUAUACAGAAGCAUUAAGUUAGUGUUUCAUAUACAGUUAUUAAUUAAUGUAAUGCAAAUCAAUACAAUUCAUGACAGUAUUGCAUAUGUUCCCCAUCCAAAAUCCUGUGUUUCCCUGUUGUGCUUCAGAGUUUGCAUCCUAUAGCACAGUUCCUACAUUUUCCUUAAUUUUAGAAACUGUCCUGCUUACAACCACUGCUCUUCUGGCUGAGAAUGAUAAGAUGGGAUUUUGACCAUGAACACUGUUCAGUGUCAGAGUAAAGUUUGGUGAAAUGAACCUUCUGCUCCCAGGUGUGAUGGAUUGGAGCUGAAAUGUCUCAGUUGCAUAGAGAGUUGCCAUGCCCUCCUACUCCUACUAAGAGCCGACACGUUCAGAAAGUAAUUGAGAUGGUAGUGAGGAAUUAGCAGAUAUCACACCAACAGAUAAUGUUUUCUGAAGGUUCUGGAGAAACAAACUAAGGAGUGCUGGAGAGGUUCUGGAGAGCUGAUUUAGCAGAACUGAAUUUUCUCCUUUUUCAGUUUGCCUAACAGAGAGAGAAAAUCUAAUGAAAAAGGUAUUCUUAACAGGGCCAAAAAUUGUCUGAGCUCUCCCAAACAAGCAGCUUCAGAAAAAUAAAACACUGAAAAAUGCACAGCAAGAACUCAGUAUGACCAAGAUGAAUAAUGAAAAGUGACUUGACACUCUUUACUUAAAAGUCUUCCACAUUCUGGUUUCUGACUAUGAAUUAUUUAAAAGAUGUUUGGAAAACAUCAUCGCUUAUGGGAAAAAUCUGCAUCUCUAAAGAGAUCACAUCUUUGUGGACAGGAUCCUAAUUUAUUAUUUCAAUAUACCAACUCAGGGGUGCUGAGAUAUUGAAGCAAGAAAAAGUAAUUUUAAGAAGUUUAUUUACACAGUUGUUUGUUGGUUUUUUUUUUCCUUUUGAAUGCGAUGUAAUAGACAGCACAGCAUGGGGGACCUGAAGAAUCAUGCCAGCAGCCUGAGACACAGCAACUGCCAGACAACUGGCAUCUAAAUUCAACAGUAUUUAUAAUCUUCCUUCUAAUGUCUGGCUCUCACCAUGGAGAACUCCAGGGAUAAUAACUUACUGGUAAGCCCAGUUCUGCUACUUAGUCUAGGCUUCAGUGAUACCUAUCUACAGCUCUUGAGAUCUGCCUGUCCUGGCAAGAGUGGAUAAGUAUAUGUAUAUAUACGUUGCACAGCCCUUUAGCAGGUUGUGUCCCCAGUGCUGGAUUUUGGGAAGCACUAGUAUAGCUUAUUUAAGUUCCAGCUAAAGUUUCUCAGUUCCCAGCGAAAGCAAGCUGUGAGCACAGCAGUACUGGUUACUACAGAAGCUCUCUCAUUGGAAGUGAUUAAGAAGAGACCAUACCAAGUAUUUCUGCAGCUCAAGCACUGGCCAGGCAAAGGAACAACAUUACAAACAUCACAUUUUCAGGAUCUAAUUCGUAUGAUUCUCUUCACUGCUCUCCACUACACAUAUGAUGCAACUCUAUAGCAAAGUAGGGACAGUAGGGACUGCUUAAUCAGGACAGCCUAAUGUACGGGCAAUUAUCCAAAGCCACAUGUUUUCUAAAUUCUGUAUGGGCAGAGAUGGAGCUUAAGAGGUCUGUAGGGAUCAGAGCUGCUAAUAGACUUCUAAGGAGGGCUCUGGGGACUGGGAUGUGCAUAAUGAGAAAAUCUGGAUAUUUAGUGUGAAGAACUGUCCCAGUCCACUCUAGCAAUGGGAUAAACUGUGUAGUCUGUGAUUUUCCCUGUUUUUUGUUAUUAGCGUGGCUGAAAGUGGUUCAGAAGGGGGAGAUCUGGACAACUUGGUCAAGCAUACUGUUGGGAAGUACUAUUAUACAGGCAGAUUUUCUUGCCAGGUCCCACCUCUUCAGGCUGCAGCAUCAUGUCUGCAGGCUACAUCCUUAUUUAUUCCCAUGUGUUACAUUUGAACAUCGUAUGCACAUAGUGUGUGUUCAUAUCUGUGUACAUAGAAGUGUCUGUAUAUGUAUAUACACAUAAAUUUAGAACACAUCUACUAGAACAAAGGGGUCUAGAGAAGCUUUAAAAUUCUGGAUUUUUGAAAGAAGAGAAAAAAAAUCUUCCACAAUACUUCAGUCUAUGUUUUCUUCUAUUGUUCUUUCCAUUUAAGUAAAAGUGCUUCCACUAUAGUUAACAUACUGGUGUCUGAAGACAUCCUUGGUGUUUACCCUUAAUUCUAAUCCAGUUCCUUUGUUACUGAAUCAGUUUAGAAAAACAUCUCUGUUCAGGAAAGUACUUAAGCAUACACUUAAGUAUAUUCUUAAAAGUAAGUGACUUCUUGAACCAGCUUAAUAAUUUAAAGUAGUAUUAAUAAACAUUCCUUAAUAAACAAUCAAUUUGGUAUGUGUUUACAGUGCAGUGCUGCUCUGAUACUUUCACGUUUCUUUGCUUUUACCACUAAGAUGACAAAUAGUAGGACAUAGAAAGACAGCUUCGUAUUUUUGAUAGUCGAGGUUUAAGAUGGCUUUGAAGAGCCUCAUUUUCAGAAGCACACCACUUCAGAAAAUCAGGUUCACAAUGAAAGAGCUGACCUCUAGCACUCUACAUCAGUAAUUUUUUUGGAAAACUUGAUCUGCUCUUCUAGGCAAACCAUUAUAUCCAUAGCAACACACAAUUCAUCUUCUGGUUUGCCGCUGCAGUUUUGUGACUAUUGAUUGCAUUGUGAAUAGUUGUUGGAACUGAUCACAAGUGGUAUGUGCAUAUGAGCAUGCACACAUCUGUGUAUGUGUGUGUAUGAGGUACAAAUCAGUGUUUGCCCAUGCAAAGUGUCCUCUCUUUCCUGAAGACUCAGUCCGAAAAGGCUCCAUGAGUGUGAACAGAGAUUUUCCUAAAACAUUCUUCACCAUUUAUCUGUCUUUUCUGCAAAAAGCAUGUGUGUUAAAUUAAAAAAUGGGAUGAAUUUGAUAACCAAGCGUUUCAGCAGUGGUACAAAGAAGGGCUGUGGAAACAGCCCAGUUCGUGGCCAACGCAGCACGGGAGGAGAACCGUCCACCAGUCUCGCAGCCUGACUGCCACAUCAGUAAUCCCAGUUGGGCUCCAGUGCAGAACUAGAUACUAUUCUCUUCCAGACAGUGGCAGGGUAAGGGCAUUGCCACUUUCUGCAUCAGCACUCCCAGAUGUGCAUUCCCCUUUUCCCAGUGCUUCCUCAGCUUUGGAGCUGCAACGGGAACCUCCUGUUUGAGGGCCUGCUCAUAACUUGGAGAGCUCUUUUGAAACCCUGGCAUUUUUCUCCUGUAAUUCAGCAAAUACUAUCACAACCAGUUGUAGUUGCGUAAGGACAAAAGCACAAAGAAGGUAUAAGCAACAGGGAACUGUGUAAGGGGGUGGGGAAAAAGCAAUGUUGUCACUGAGAAAAGGCAUACAGGACUUUAUAAAAUUUAUGUAUAACUGGUCAUACUUUACAACAGCUUAGGAAUUAUCUGCACCUCCCAAGUGACAUAAUUUAACAAAUGCCCUGAACAACCAGCUUAGUUCAGGAGUGCUUAGAAGAAAAAAAAGUUCUAAACACAUUUGAUAUGUAAAUCUGACCAGCUCUACUUGCCACACAAAAGGAAUUUAUCCUCUUUUUAGAUUUUUAGCUUUAUAAUGGCAGUGGCGAUCUUAGGGACAUCCCUAGUCAAAUUCAGAGCUCCCCAUUUUGUAUAAAUAUGUUAGCUUAAUAAAGUAGGGCUGACUAGAAAUAAAUAAAUAAAUAAAAAGUGCUAAGAUUUUCAAUUUCAUACUUGUUUCAUACCAGAGGAAAAAAAUUACACUUCUCCUAUGUUGUUCAGCGGGGAGGUGGUGGAGGUGAGCCACCAUACACACAUACACACAAACACACAGCCAAGAGAGCACCUUACUCCUGCUAAGUUUUGUUAAUACAGUCUUCUUAAAUCCAAUACAGCCUCUCUCCUCUCAGAAGUGAAAAAACAAACAUGCCAUUGCAAGCCAUGGUUAGUCUGACGUUGCAGCUACUCACAUAGCCUCUCCCGCUACAAGGACAGCAUUUGGCAAGUCUUUGUCCGUUGAGAAACUGCACACAAAACUAGACUGGAAACACAGCCCUUCUACUAACACACCAAUAAAAAUCCCAAGCUAAAAAUGUUAAAGAUGACGUCGAUCCAAUAUUCCUCCUACACACAUGAAACCUAAAAUUGCCUUAAGGACUGCUCUUCAUUAAAGUUCCAUUAAAUGGGCUGUUACAAUAAAUUAGUAAAUUACUUCUUACAGCCACAGCACACGGUUCCAGUCAGAAUAACGUAGAAGGCAUGACUUACAUCAGGCAGCUUUUCAAGCCUGUUAUCAAAACUAUCAUUCAUGUUGUGUCUAACAAGAAUCCUGUAACAUUGUAAUUUAAGCCAACAUAGAUAUUGUUACAAGGAAUGCAGAUUGGUUUUAAGUUUUCUUUGUUACGCAGAAGAAAGUUUGCAUUGAUGUACUUAUAUGCAUCUCUACUGACUUCACUCAAGUCUGCAGGAAGAUGUAAACAAGAUAAAGGCUAUCUGGAGCAACAGAAGCUAACCAAAGCCAACCAAAGCCCUGCCUGUAGACCAUGGGUCUACUCCCUAUGUCUUUUGGUCUCAGGCAGACAGGAAAAAAAAAUAUCCUUCUCUUCAUGAGAGGAGACUCUGAGCUAGGUUUAAGAUCCUCAAUCAAUCAAAGACAAUUCUUGCCUCAGAGAAUUUUUUCUGAGGCAAUUCUGAGAAAUUACUCAGCUUUACUGUGAUUCUGGCCAACCUCCUCAGAUGAAGACAUCAGAGCCAGAGCUUUAGCUAUCCCUCAUAUCAACAGUGCCUAGAUAAUCUCAUGUAAAACCACUAAAAUCUGUCUAUCAGGUAUGGUGAGAACAUAUAGGUUUAUAGGCACUACAGAUUUACAGCGCUUAUGCACAGGGCCUAAUUUCAUUCUCUGGAGCAUAGUUUUUUGAGGAGAAAAAGUAAGACAGACUGCCUCCUGCUAUGGUGUUGAGAUCAGUUUCAUAGACAAGCCAAUAAAAUUUGAGUAGCAUUUACAACAUAAAACCCUUACUUUCCCCAUACUGACCCCUUGCUUUUGGGCAUAGGAAUGCAUGCCUAGCUCUUGUCUGUGAUCAGCUUACAGAGCAUGUAUAGAUCCCCAUCAGCUCCUCACUGGUUACUGAUGAGAAACACUGCUUUCUAGCCAACCUGCUGAGAGUCCUGAAUUUUACCAAAGUAUGUGUCAAUAGGAUAACAAUGCCAAAUGUUUCCUAUGAAAAAAAGUGGAAAAUGACUCAUUAAACAGUUUGAGCACA
This is a long non-coding RNA of Strigops habroptila (Kakapo), 12150 nucleotides long. RefSeq lists it as uncharacterized. NCBI's taxonomy places the organism in Eukaryota, Metazoa, Chordata, Aves, Psittaciformes, Psittacidae. The transcript has 2 exons. The record is from RefSeq and is a predicted model, not a curated record.